GCCCGGGUGGCUCAGUCGGUUGAGUGUCUGACUUCAACUCAGGUCAUGAUCUCGCAAUCUGUGAGUUCAAGCCCCACGUCGGGCU
Molecule: transfer RNA, 85 nt
Filed under: Felis catus (domestic cat)
Lineage: Eukaryota; Metazoa; Chordata; Mammalia; Carnivora; Felidae
Rfam family: tRNA
About the family: Transfer RNA (tRNA) molecules are approximately 80 nucleotides in length.
Source: Rfam by way of RNAcentral